UUUUGUAGGUUACGAGCCUGGAUUUUUGUGGUACUUGUCAUUCUCUUCUUUUCCAAGGCUUCUGGGAGAUUUGUGAGGUAGUUGUUUGUCUUCUCAGCGAUCCUUCUUACUCCUGAUUAUGAUCUUGUUCUAUUCUAGAAACAAGGUCAUUUGAGUCUUAUAUUUCUUUUUGAAUCAAUUGUAAUACUUUAGAGGCUUGUACACGUGACAACCAGAUUUUGG
This 222-nucleotide long non-coding RNA is filed under the name Solanum tuberosum (potato). Its description in RNAcentral is "long non-coding RNA (STUB_LNC000778)". The record is from RNAcentral. Lineage: Eukaryota; Viridiplantae; Streptophyta; Magnoliopsida; Solanales; Solanaceae.